RNAcentral lists this ribosomal RNA (371 nucleotides) under uncultured bacterium. RNAcentral describes it as "bacterial SSU rRNA". It matches the Rfam family "Bacterial small subunit ribosomal RNA", at positions 527 to 896 of the family's 1533-position model. The record is from RNAcentral.
GGAGGGUGCAAGCGUUAAUCAGAAUUACUGGGCGUAAAGAGCGCGUAGGUGGUUUUUUAAGUUCAGGUGUGAAAUCCCUAGGCUCAACCUAGGAACUGCAUUUGAAACUGGAAAACUAGAGUUUCGUAGAGGGAGGUAGAAUUCUAGGUGUAGCGGUGAAAUGCGUAGAUAUCUGGAGGAAUACCCGUGGCGAAAGCGGCCUCCUAAACGAAAACUGACACUGAGGCGCGAAAGCGUGGGAGCAAACAGGAUUAGAUACCCCUGGUAGUCCAUGCCGUAAACGAUGUCGACUUGGAGGUUGUUUCCAAGAGAAGUGACUUCCGAAGCUAACGCAUUAAGUCGACCGCCUGGGGAGUACGGCCGCAAGGCUA